UUACUCUGGUUUCUCUUCAGAUUGCAUAAAUAUUUCACUUUUUACUAAAGAUUUCUAUAGAGAGGAACAUUUAUGAGUGUUUUGUGAAUUUUUUGAGACUCCGCUUUGAGAGAGCC
Small nuclear RNA from Heteronotia binoei (common prickly gecko), 116 nucleotides. RefSeq annotates it as U5 spliceosomal RNA. The record is from RefSeq and is a predicted model, not a curated record. Lineage: Eukaryota; Metazoa; Chordata; Lepidosauria; Squamata; Gekkonidae. The transcript has a single exon.